UACGUAGGGGGCAAGCGUUAUCCGGAUUUACUGGGUGUAAAGGGAGCGUAGGCGGGCUUUUAAGUCAGCGGUAAAAAUUCGGGGCUCAACCCCGUCCGGCCGUUGAAACUGGGGGCCUUGAGUGGGCGAGAAGAAGGCGGAAUGCGUGGUGUAGCGGUGAAAUGCAUAGAUAUCACGCAGAACCCCGAUUGCGAAGGCAGCUUACUAAGCCAUAACUGACACUGAAGCACGAAAGCGUGGGGAUCAAACAGG
This 252-nucleotide ribosomal RNA is filed under the name uncultured Bacteroidales bacterium. RNAcentral's name for it is "partial 16S ribosomal RNA". It matches the Rfam family "Bacterial small subunit ribosomal RNA", at positions 524 to 776 of the family's 1533-position model. Lineage: Bacteria; Pseudomonadati; Bacteroidota; Bacteroidia; Bacteroidales. The record is from RNAcentral.